RNAcentral lists this ribosomal RNA (623 nucleotides) under uncultured Methanomicrobiales archaeon. RNAcentral describes it as "bacterial SSU rRNA". It matches the Rfam family "Archaeal small subunit ribosomal RNA", at positions 402 to 1024 of the family's 1478-position model. Lineage: Archaea; Methanobacteriati; Methanobacteriota; Methanomicrobia; Methanomicrobiales. The record is from RNAcentral.
UCGGGCUGUCCAUCAGUAUAAAAAACUGGUGAAGAAAGGGCCGGGCAAGACCGGUGCCAGCCGCCGCGGUAAUACCGGCGGCUCGAGUGGUGGCCACUAUUACUGGGCUUAAAGCGUUCGUAGCUGGUUUGUUAAGUCUCUGGGGAAAUCUUCCGGCUUAACCGGAAGGCAUCUCAGGGAUACUGGCAGACUAGGGACCGGAAGAGGUGAGGGGUACUCCAGGGGUAGGAGUGAAAUCCUGUAAUCCUUGGGGGACCACCUGUGGCGAAGGCGCCUCACCAGAACGGCUCCGACAGUGAGGGACGAAAGCUGGGGGAGCAAACCGGAUUAGAUACCCGGGUAGUCCCAGCCGUAAACGAUGUGCGUUAGGUGUAUCGGUGACCACGAGUCACCGAGGUGCCGAAGAGAAAUCGUGAAACGUACCGCCUGGGAAGUACGGUCGCAAGGCUGAAACUUAAAGGAAUUGGCGGGGGAGCACCACAACAGGUGGAGCCUGCGGUUUAAUCGGACUCAACGCCGGANAACUCACCAGAUAAGACAGCUGAAUGAUAGUCGGGCUGAAGACUCUACUUGACUAGCUGAGAGGAGGUGCAUGGCCGUCGUCAGUUCGUACUGUGAAGCAU